Molecule: long non-coding RNA, 820 nt
Filed under: Suricata suricatta (meerkat)
Lineage: Eukaryota; Metazoa; Chordata; Mammalia; Carnivora; Herpestidae
Description: lncRNA (ENSSSUG00005007263.1)
Source: RNAcentral
AAUUUCCAAGAAAGGCUUAAACAUCUACUCAAUCCAUACCUCUGACACUAUCUUCCUGGCCCCAGGGUCCCAUCUUUAAAGAAGGGAAAGAAGAAAGGAGCGGCUUUGAGUCAAGAAGUAGGUCAAUGAUGCCCAUUUUACGGAAGAGGAAACAGAGGCUCUCAGAAGAGAGUGCCCAGUGUUACACAGAGAACGACUGCCGCGUUGGCAUCUGAGGCCUAUUGGGCUGGAGGGCUCCCCGCUCUUUCACCGAUGCUCCCGGGGCAGCUGGGAGGUGCCAGCGGUGUGUCUGCUUGUCUCACAUCCGUUGCCCUGGCCAGGAGGUGGCAGUGGUGGAGCUCCCUUCACUGGCAGCUGCCUCCUCAGCCCCCAGUCCCCUGUCCGCUCUGGGCACUGGCCACCGAGACACCCUACCUCCCCGAAGACUGUGAGGAAGGAAAGGGACACAGCUGGAGUCCCUCCCACACGCCCCAGAGGCCACAGGUCAGAAGGAGGGCAGGAUGUUGCCUUUUUGACCUUUGGGGGCCUGCGUUGAGAGAGGGGCACCAUUCACCCACAGUGACAUACCUGCGAGGAGGUACCGUGGGGCGGGAUGGGGUGCGGUGACUUGCUGGGAAGGAGGUCAAGGGCACCUGGGGAGAGGCAGCGUGCCUCAGUGGGAAGAGCGGACUGGAGGGAGGCAGAGCUGGCUUCCUGCUCUCUCACCAGCCUCUCUCACUGGCUGUGACCUUGGGCAAAUGACUUCAUCUCUCUCAACAGCAACGUGCAGCAGGAAAAGGGAGAAUGACCCCAAUCUCCAAAGCAGUUGGGAGCAUUAACU